UCUAUGUGUACCCCCCUACGAAAAUAGUGAGUUUUCGGUAAAUGCUCUAUAUAUGAAGCCUAUAAUCUUUUAAUUCGUUUUAAAAUUUAUAACCACAUUACACAUUUGUAUUAAUUUAUGAUAAACUCAUUUUCAUGGUACAUGGACCUUGUUCUAAUUUUUUAUCAAUUAAUUUAGCAAAACUGUAAAUACUCCUUAAAUCAUUGGACUAACAGCUAUAAAAUUGCUAUUCCUUAGAGAAACGGAGACAACAAUGAUUCCAAACCUCGUUGAACUUCAUAAUAUUUUAUUACAUGAUUCAAAAAUGUAUUAAAACAGUAUUGUCAAAUUUUUUGAAUUUUUCUCAAAAUCAAUGUGUACCCCCCUACGAAAAUAGUGAGUUUUCAGUAAAUGCUCUAUAUAUGAAGCCUAUAAUCUUUAAAUUUGUUUUAAAAUUUAAAACCACAUUAUACCUUUGUAUUAAUGUAUGAUAAACUUCUUUUCAUGGUACAUGUACAUCGUUCUAAAUUUUUAUCCAUUAAUUUAGCAAAACUGCAAAUACUCCCUAAAUCAUUGGACUAACCACUAUAAAAUUGCUAUUCCCUAGAGAAACGGAGACAACAAAAGUUCCAAACCUC
Molecule: long non-coding RNA, 617 nt
Filed under: Brassica napus (rape)
Lineage: Eukaryota; Viridiplantae; Streptophyta; Magnoliopsida; Brassicales; Brassicaceae
Description: long non-coding RNA (BNAP_LNC026192)
Source: RNAcentral